AUUGAACGCUGGCGGCAGGCCUAACACAUGCAAGUCGAGCGGAUGAGGGGAGCUUGCUCCCUGAUUUAGCGGCGGACGGGUGAGUAAUGCCUAGGAAUCUGCCUGGUAGUGGGGGAUAACGUUCCGAAAGGAACGCUAAUACCGCAUACGUCCUACGGGAGAAAGCAGGGGACCUUCGGGCCUUGCGCUAUCAGAUGAGCCUAGGUCGGAUUAGCUAGUUGGUGAGGUAAUGGCUCACCAAGGCGACGAUCCGUAACUGGUCUGAGAGGAUGAUCAGUCACACUGGAACUGAGACACGGUCCAGACUCCUACGGGAGGCAGCAGUGGGGAAUAUUGGACAAUGGGCGAGAGCCUGAUCCAGCCAUGCCGCGUGUGUGAAGAAGGUCUUCGGAUUGUAAAGCACUUUAAGUUGGGAGGAAGGGCUGCUGGUUAAUACCCUGCAGUUUUGACGUUACCAACAGAAUAAGCACCGGCUAACUUCGUG
This 484-nucleotide ribosomal RNA is filed under the name uncultured bacterium. Its description in RNAcentral is "partial 16S ribosomal RNA". It matches the Rfam family "Bacterial small subunit ribosomal RNA", at positions 30 to 507 of the family's 1533-position model. The record is from RNAcentral.